UCGCGAAAACUUUACAAUGCUGGCAACAGCGAUAAGGGAACCUCGAGUGCCAGGUUACAAAUCUGGCUGUCGAGAUGCCUAAAAAGCAUUUCAUAGCAAGGGCCGGGCAAGACCGGUGCCAGCCGCCGCGGUAACACCGGCGGCUCGAGUGGUAACCGUUAUUAUUGGGUCUAAAGGGUCUGUAGCCGGCCGGAUAAGUCUCUUGAGAAAUCUGGCAGCUUAACUGUCAGGCUUUCAGGAGAUACUGUCUGGCUCGAGGCCGGGAGAGGUGAGAGGUACUUCGAGGGGUAGGGGUGAAAUCUUGUAAUCCUUGAAGGACCACCAGUGGCGAAGGCGUCUCGACCAGAACGGACCUGACGGCAAGGGACAAAGGCUAGGGGCACGAACCGGAUUACGAUAC
RNAcentral lists this ribosomal RNA (400 nucleotides) under uncultured bacterium. RNAcentral describes it as "bacterial SSU rRNA". It matches the Rfam family "Archaeal small subunit ribosomal RNA", at positions 339 to 736 of the family's 1478-position model. The record is from RNAcentral.